GAUGAACGUUGGCGGUGCGCUUUAUGCAUGCAAGUCGUACGGGACUGUAGUUUUCGGAUUACGGUUCAGUGGCGAACGGCUGAGUAACACGUAGGUAACUUACCCGCGAGCGGGGGAUAACUUACCGAAAGGUAGGCUAAUACCGCAUGGUAUGGAUCUGUCAAAGCAGGUUCAUUAAAGCCGUAAGGCACUCGCGGAUAGGCCUGCGGCCGAUUAGCUAGUUGGUGAGGUAACGGCUCACCAAGGCGACGAUCAGUAGCCGGACUGAGAGGUUGAACGGCCACAUUGGGACUGAGACACGGUCCAGACUCCUACGGGAGGCAGCAGUGGGGAAUUUUGGACAAUGGGGCAACCCUGAUCCAGCCAUGCCGCGUGAGUGAAGAAGGCCUUCGGGUUGUAAAGCUCUUUCAGGUGGAAAGAAACGCAUGGGUCAAUACCCUGUGUGGAUGACGGUACCAUCAGAAGAAGCACCGGCUAACUACGUGCCAGCAGCCGACGGUAACUGUAGUCGUC
Molecule: ribosomal RNA, 513 nt
Filed under: uncultured bacterium
Lineage: Bacteria
Description: bacterial SSU rRNA
Rfam family: Bacterial small subunit ribosomal RNA
Source: RNAcentral